UAACAUCAAACUCAGAUGUUGAGCGUGAAGGAUAACGUUGCGUCAGCAACGGCCCGAAGGGCGAGGCGAAGCCGAGUCAUCCUGCACAACCCACCA
RNAcentral lists this small RNA (96 nucleotides) under Salmonella enterica. RNAcentral describes it as "partial RtT sRNA". It matches the Rfam family "RtT RNA", at positions 50 to 130 of the family's 130-position model. From Rfam's summary of the family: This family represents a bacterial cis-regulatory element known as RtT RNA. Lineage: Bacteria; Pseudomonadati; Pseudomonadota; Gammaproteobacteria; Enterobacterales; Enterobacteriaceae. The record is from RNAcentral. RNAcentral also lists the same sequence under 2 other names.